RNAcentral lists this unclassified non-coding RNA (309 nucleotides) under Hevea brasiliensis (rubber tree). Lineage: Eukaryota; Viridiplantae; Streptophyta; Magnoliopsida; Malpighiales; Euphorbiaceae. The record is from RNAcentral.
CCAGUUGAGUUUAUAAUAAUUAUUUUUAAGCAUGCUUGUGCUGUCUCUAAGCCUCCUCUUUUAGAUAUAAGAUUUGAGUGUUAAUUCUUGAAUUCAAGCAUGGCAAGGCGGCUUCUUCAUCCCCCAUUCUCUUUCUUUUCUGUCUUAAGGAUUUAAACGAACAAAUCUAGAUUAUUUAUUCUUAUUUUCCUUUUUUCAACUUAUUGGGCACUUAUUUUUGUACUUGUAGUUAGAUUUAUUAGAAGAUUACUAUUGGGUGUCGGCAGAUCGCCAAGACAUUGAUCACUUUGCAGCUGUAAACAAUUUCUG